Molecule: transfer RNA, 76 nt
Filed under: Podarcis lilfordi (Lilford's wall lizard)
Lineage: Eukaryota; Metazoa; Chordata; Lepidosauria; Squamata; Lacertidae
Description: tRNA.Thr
Source: RNAcentral
AGAGCCAGUGUGGUCUAGUGGUUAAGAGCGGUAGACUUGUAAUCUGGUGAACAGGGUUCACGUCCCUGCUCCUCCA